GAUGAACGCUGGCGGCGUGCCUAAUACAUGCAAGUCGAACGAACUUCCGUUAAUUGAUUAUGACGUACUUGUACUGAUUGAGAUUUUAACACGAAGUGAGUGGCGAACGGGUGAGUAACACGUGGGUAACCUGCCCAGAAGUAGGGGAUAACACCUGGAAACAGAUGCUAAUACCGUAUAACAGAGAAAACCGCAUGGUUUUCUUUUAAAAGAUGGCUCUGCUAUCACUUCUGGAUGGACCCGCGGCGUAUUAGCUAGUUGGUGAGGUAAAGGCUCACCAAGGCAGUGAUACGUAGCCGACCUGAGAGGGUAAUCGGCCACAUUGGGACUGAGACACGGCCCAGACUCCUACGGGAGGCAGCAGUAGGGAAUCUUCCACAAUGGACGCAAGUCUGAUGGAGCAACGCCGCGUGAGUGAAGAAGGGUUUCGGCUCGUAAAGCUCUGUUGUUAAAGAAGAACGUGGGUAAGAGUAACUGUUUACCCAGUGACGGUAUUUAACCAGAAAGCCACGGCUAACUACGUGCCAGCAGCCGCGGUAAUACGUAGGUGGCAAGCGUUGUCCGGAUUUAUUGGGCGUAAAGCGAGCGCAGGCGGUCUUUUAAGUCUAAUGUGAAAGCCUUCGGCUCAACCGAAGAAGUGCAUUGGAAACUGGGAGACUUGAGUGCAGAAGAGGACAGUGGAACUCCAUGUGUAGCGGUGAAAUGCGUAGAUAUAUGGAAGAACACCAGUGGCGAAGGCGGCUGUCUGGUCUGCAACUGACGCUGAGGCUCGAAAGCAUGGGUAGCGAACAGGAUUAGAUACCCUGGUAGUCCAUGCCGUAAACGAUGAUUACUAAGUGUUGGAGGGUUUCCGCCCUUCAGUGCUGCAGCUAACGCAUUAAGUAAUCCGCCUGGGGAGUACGACCGCAAGGUUGAAACUCAAAAGAAUUGACGGGGGCCCGCACAAGCGGUGGAGCAUGUGGUUUAAUUCGAAGCUACGCGAAGAACCUUACCA
RNAcentral lists this ribosomal RNA (994 nucleotides) under Pediococcus pentosaceus. RNAcentral's name for it is "bacterial SSU rRNA". It matches the Rfam family "Bacterial small subunit ribosomal RNA", at positions 28 to 976 of the family's 1533-position model. Lineage: Bacteria; Bacillati; Bacillota; Bacilli; Lactobacillales; Lactobacillaceae. The record is from RNAcentral.